UGUGAAUGAUUGCUGGACCGAGACUAGAAAUAGACUAGUCUGUAAAAGGAAGCUUACUGGGAUUCUUGGUUAGGGUUGGGGGACCUGCUCAGAGGAAGAAUUAUUCAUGUGAAAGGAUCAAAAAUAUUCCUGGAGAGAAGAGAGCGGUGGUGUCUUGCCCUUACCCUGGAGGAGACUGACAUUCAGCUCGGCCUGCAGCAACCGAUCGGGUUUGAAAGUGUAACUGUCGCGCAGCCCAGAAACAAACAUGGUGCUGUUCCUGUGGCAGCUCCAGCAGACACAGGAGUCCUGGCAGAUGGGCAACUCCUUGCCUCCCUGAGGCUCACAUAGGAUCUGUGUGCUUCUCCCAUGUGCAGAGAAAGUGGGUGAGGAGGAGCUGAUUUAGAUACAGAUAGAAAAUCCCAAAUUAGGCUCCUGAAAUCUUCCCCACAUUUAUUCUAUUCUACUCAAUAUAAGUUCUUAUACUGCACUCAUUGCUGUGGUAUCUGAGCACCUUCCAGUAAAGCUUUAAGAAAUGUGAA
Long non-coding RNA from Chrysemys picta bellii (western painted turtle), 521 nucleotides. RefSeq lists it as uncharacterized. The record is from RefSeq and is a predicted model, not a curated record. NCBI's taxonomy places the organism in Eukaryota, Metazoa, Chordata, Testudines, Emydidae.